RNAcentral lists this ribosomal RNA (449 nucleotides) under uncultured bacterium. Its description in RNAcentral is "partial 16S ribosomal RNA". It matches the Rfam family "Bacterial small subunit ribosomal RNA", at positions 29 to 523 of the family's 1533-position model. The record is from RNAcentral.
AACGAACGCUGGCGGCAUGCCUAACACAUGCAAGUCGAACGAGAUCUUCGGGUCUAGUGGCGCACGGGUGCGCAACGCGUGGGAAUCUGCCCUUUGGUUCGGAAUAACAGUUGGAAACGACUGCUAAUACCGGAUGAUGACGAAAGUCCAAAGAUUUAUCGCCAGAGGAUGAGCCCGCGUAGGAUUAGCUAGUUGGUGUGGUAAAGGCGCACCAAGGCGACGAUCCUUAGCUGGUCUGAGAGGAUGAUCAGCCACACUGGGACUGAGACACGGCCCAGACUCCUACGGGAGGCAGCAGUGGGGAAUAUUGGACAAUGGGCAAAAGCCUGAUCCAGCAAUGCCGCGUGAGUGAUGAAGGCCUUAGGGUUGUAAAGCUCUUUUACCCGGGAUGAUAAUGACAGUACCGGGAGAAUAAGCUCCGGCCAACUCCGUGCCAGCAGCCGCCGUAA